CUGGUUGAUCCUGCCAGUAGUCAUAUGCUUGUCUCAAAGACUAAGCCAUGCAUGUCUAAGUAUAAAUGGUAUACAGUAAAACUGCGAAUGGCUCAUUAAAACAGUUAUAGUUUAUUUGGUAAUCGAAUUUACAUGGAUAACCGUGGUAAUUCUAGAGCUAAUACAUGCUGUAAAGCCCGACUUCUCGGAAGGGCCGUAUUUAUUAGAUAACAGACCAGCAGCUUCGGCUAUUGUGGUGAAUCAUAGUAACUAAUCGGAUCGCAUGGGCUAGUCCCGCGACAAACCAUUCAAGUUUCUGCCCCAUCAGCUUUCGACGGUAGUGUAUUGGACUACCGUGGCUUUCACGGGUAACGGAGGAUUAGGGUUCGAUUCCGGAGAGGGAGCCUGAGAAACGGCUACCACAUCUAAGGAAGGCAGCAGGCGCGUAAAUUACCCAAUUCUGAUUCAGAGAGGUAGUGACAAGAAAUAACGGGUCGGGAUUUUUUCCCGGGACUGCAAUGAGAUGAACUUAUACCCCUUUUCGAGUAACAAUUGGAGGGCAAGUCUGGU
RNAcentral lists this ribosomal RNA (549 nucleotides) under uncultured ciliate. Its description in RNAcentral is "SSU rRNA". It matches the Rfam family "Eukaryotic small subunit ribosomal RNA", at positions 4 to 565 of the family's 1831-position model. Lineage: Eukaryota; Ciliophora. The record is from RNAcentral.